UACGUAGGGGGCUAGCGUUGUCCGGAAUCAUUGGGCGUAAAGAGCGCGUAGGCGGCCCGGUAAGUCCGCUGUGAAAGUCCAGGGCUCAACCCUGGAAUGCCAGUGGAAACUGUCGGGCUAGAGUACGGAAGAGGCGAGUGGAAUUCCUGGUGUAGCGGUGGAAUGCGCAGAUAUCAGGAGGAACACCAAUAGCGAAGGCAGCUCGCUGGGACGCAACUGACGCUGAGACGCGAAAGCGUGGGGGAGCAAACAGG
RNAcentral lists this ribosomal RNA (254 nucleotides) under uncultured bacterium. Its description in RNAcentral is "partial 16S ribosomal RNA". It matches the Rfam family "Bacterial small subunit ribosomal RNA", at positions 524 to 776 of the family's 1533-position model. The record is from RNAcentral.